RNAcentral lists this ribosomal RNA (748 nucleotides) under uncultured bacterium. RNAcentral's name for it is "bacterial SSU rRNA". It matches the Rfam family "Bacterial small subunit ribosomal RNA", at positions 9 to 794 of the family's 1533-position model. The record is from RNAcentral.
GAGUUUGAUCCUGGCUCAGAAUGAACGCUGGCGGCAUGCCUAACACAUGCAAGUCGAACGAAGGCUUCGGCCUUAGUGGCGCACGGGUGCGUAACGCGUGGGAAUCUGCCCUCAGGUUCGGAAUAACAGCGAGAAAUUGCUGCUAAUACCGGAUGAUAUCGCGAGAUCAAAGAUUUAUCGCCUGAGGAUGAGCCCGCGUAGGAUUAGCUAGUUGGUGUGGUAAAGGCGCACCAAGGCGACGAUCCUUAGCUGGUCUGAGAGGAUGAUCAGCCACACUGGGACUGAGACACGGCCCAGACUCCUACGGGAGGCAGCAGUGGGGAAUAUUGGACAAUGGGCGAAAGCCUGAUCCAGCAAUGCCGCGUGAGUGAUUAAGGCCUUAGGGUUGUAAAGCUCUUUUACCCGGGAUGAUAAUGACAGUACCGGGAGAAUAAGCUCCGGCUAACUCCGUGCCAGCAGCCGCGGUAAUACGGAGGGAGCUAGCGUUAUUCGGAAUUACUGGGCGUAAAAGCGCACGUAGGCGGUUUGUAAGUUAGAGGUGAAAAGGCCUGGAGCUCAAUUCCAGAAUUGCCUUUAAGACUGGAUCGGUUGAAUCCAGGAGAGGUGAGUGGAAUUCCGAGUGUAGAGGUGAAAUUCGUAGAUUUCGGAAGAACACCCAGGUGGGGAAAGGCGGGUUCACUGGACUGGGUAUUGACGCUGAAGGUGCGAAAGCGUGGGGAGCCAACCGGGUUUGAUACCCUGGGUAGGU